Molecule: ribosomal RNA, 508 nt
Filed under: uncultured Bacteroidota bacterium
Lineage: Bacteria; Pseudomonadati; Bacteroidota
Description: bacterial SSU rRNA
Rfam family: Bacterial small subunit ribosomal RNA
Source: RNAcentral
CUAUGCGCCUUGCCAGCCCGCUCAGAAACUUAAAUGAAUUGACGGGGGCCCGCACAAGCGGAGGAGCAUGUGGUUUAAUUCGAUGAUACGCGAGGAACCUUACCUGGGCUUAAAUGCUUAAUGACGUACUGGGAAACUGGUAUUUCUUCGGACAUUUUGCAAGGUGCUGCAUGGUUGUCGUCAGCUCGUGCCGUGAGGUGUCGGGUUAAGUCCCAUAACGAGCGCAACCCCUAUUGUUAGUUGCCAUCAGGUCAUGCUGGGGACUCUAACAAAACUGCCCGCGUAAGCGUGGAGGAAGGUGGGGAUGACGUCAAAUCAGCACGGCCCUUACGUCCAGGGCUACACACGUGCUACAAUGGCCGGUACAGAGGGCAGCCACUUGGUGACAAGGAGCAAAUCUCAAAAGCCGGUCUCAGUUCGGAUCGGAGUCUGCAACUCGACUCCGUGAAGUUGGAUUCGCUAGUAAUCGUAGAUCAGCAAUGCUACGGUGAAUACGUUCCCGGGCCUU